This 258-nucleotide ribosomal RNA is filed under the name uncultured bacterium. RNAcentral's name for it is "partial 16S ribosomal RNA". It matches the Rfam family "Bacterial small subunit ribosomal RNA", at positions 524 to 777 of the family's 1533-position model. The record is from RNAcentral.
UACGAAGGGGGCUAGCGUUGCUCGGAAUCACUGGGCGUAAAGCGCACGUAGGCGGAUUCUUUAAGUCAGGGGUGAAAUCCUGGAGCUCAACUCCAGAACUGCCUUUGAUACUGGGACGACUCGUCGAGUCCGGGAGAGGUGAGUGGAACUGCGAGUGUAGAGGUGAAAUUCGUAGAUAUUCGCAAGAACACCAGUGGCGAAGGCGGCUCACUGGCCCGGUACUGACGCUGAGGUGCGAAAGCGUGGGAGCAAACAGGG